GAUGAUAAAAUUGUUGAGAAUAUCCUUUUGAAUCUGUUUUUGUUUCGAGGAUGAUAAGACGGUAUUGGUCUGCAUUUUCAGAAACGAGGCCUGUGUGUGACUUCGUAGGCAUGCUGAGAUAAACACCGAACUGACCCCUGAGCAGGACAAGGACAGACAACACCAUGAGUCAGCACUUACCAAAUGUGGGAGAGCUCUGGUAUUGGGAGCUUGGAUUUUGUGAAGAAGUUUUUUGCAACAGCUCCUGGAAAAAAAAAGCAAAGAGCAACACAGAGCGGACAGGAAUGUCUUUGCUCAGUGCAGCCAUUCAUGGUCAGCUCUACACGUUUCCUCAUCUUGGCACCCAGUGACUGGAUCUUGACAGUGAUCCAUAGUUGCACUGACAGCACUCAACACAUCAUAUCUUGGAUCACCAGAAGGGUCGUCCCAUGCUUACCUUCUUCUCUACACUGGUCUCCAGGUGUCUGAAGGUGCUCCUGUCAGCUGGAGUCCAGGAGACAGAACCAGAUGCAGUCCCACACUGAGCCCCUGGAGCUUCUACGCUGGGAGGGAUGGUUGAGUAUCGCAUCUCUGGUUCAUUCUUCAGCCCAACAAAUCUGGGCAGAGCUGCCGCUUGUAUAAUGACUUCUGAUACAACUAGAAUUAUCCUGAGGGAAUUAAUCAGGCUGAGCGCCUCAGUGUGUUACUCUGCCGAGCUUUCACAGAGACACGGGAUCCAAAACAACUCAGGUCCGGUCUGUCGUGUUGGCGAGUGUGCCUGAGGUCGGCGGAGGAGGACUGAUGAUGAGAUUAUUUCAGAGACACCAGUAACAGCCUUCAGGAACCAGACUGACCGGUCAGAUCUGUGGCCUGAGGGGGAAAGUUAUUCAAGGCAGAUGGAAGAAUGCCAGAAACAUUUCAGCGCACAUAAUAUCAUCGUUGGUUUGGUGGGGCCUACCGGAUAUUAAUUAAUCAUGUGCCUGUUAACAAUGUGACUGAGGAAAUCAAGUUUGAAAAUAAGACAUGUUGGCAUGAUGAAUAUCAGAGAUACAUGAGCACUUACACGCAUUUCCUGUGUACUACAAACUACUCUGUCAUUCAGUUCUGUAAAAUAACAAAUCACUCUGAUUGCACCAUGAUAUAGCUGACAUGUGAUAGCAUAUAUUUUGUAUGUAUUCAGAGUCACUGCUGAAAAAAAAAAACAUUCACUAUAUGCAAUAAGUCCUGUACUUAAAUACUGUUUAAGGUACUAACACUUUACUUGAGCUGCAAAAAAAUUUCCAGAAUGCAUGACUUUAAUUUGCAGGUAAUGGAGUAUUCUUACAAUCACGUUUGUCUAAGUAAAGGACCUCAGUGGUGGAAGAAGUACUCAGGUGCACAGUAGUGAUGUGUUGACAGACGUGGCUGCAGAACCUGUCUGGUUGAAUGUACCUGAACGUGCCACUGCGCACAAACACAUACCAUACCACACCUCUGCAACCUGACAGCAAACUCAGGCACAGACAUUUAUUUACAGGUAAUUCUAAAAGUUCCAUGUAGGGAGUCGGUCUGCAUCAGGGGGAAAUCUUCCAACUCAACACCCUGUGUCACACUGUGCUGUGAGAAUGGCUGCUGUGCCUGUAAUCGUGUUCAUGUGAUAAAACAUUAUGGCAAAUAUUUACUUCCUUGGCAGUGAAAAUAAUGUCAGUCAGUAACAGCGUGAUCCACAGUCUGUACUCUAAGUCCACGUAAGGAGCAUAACAAUAGAUUUUAUUUUAGAGUAAGGUAAUGGGAAGCAGAGUCUUUAUCUGAAUGACUGCUGGCUUCACAGAAAGCAACAGCAGCUCAGCAGGAAGUAGCAUCAUGCUUUUACUAGCUAUCUGCUAUAAACACAGGUUCCACAUAAAGACACUUCCUUUGUAAAUCUGGUGAGUUUAGGUAUACGAUGAUUCAGCAAACACACCUCCACAUACUCUCCAUGAUGGAAAAUCCCCUUUGUUUUGACAAAUAG
This is a long non-coding RNA of Toxotes jaculatrix (banded archerfish), 1969 nucleotides long. RefSeq lists it as uncharacterized. The record is from RefSeq and is a predicted model, not a curated record. NCBI's taxonomy places the organism in Eukaryota, Metazoa, Chordata, Actinopteri, Toxotidae. The transcript is spliced from 4 exons.